RNAcentral lists this long non-coding RNA (1688 nucleotides) under Helianthus annuus (common sunflower). RNAcentral's name for it is "hypothetical non coding rna". Lineage: Eukaryota; Viridiplantae; Streptophyta; Magnoliopsida; Asterales; Asteraceae. The record is from RNAcentral.
GCUUCUCUUAUUUUGAUUCUUUCAUCUUAUUUCAAGUGAAACCCUAAAUCACAAAUAUGGUCAGAUCUUGAAGGAUUUUGGAUCUGAAAUCAUUGUUUAGAGGCUACAAUCCAACGUGCAAGAGGCUGAGAGGCGUGGGUUUUCUCAUAAUCGAGAGAAGGAUGAAGGGCAAUGACAAAAUGGGUUUUGAUAGGAGUUUCAAGGGUACUUUUUUUGUUUUCUUUUGCUUAUGGGCUCGCUUGAAGCCCUAAUUCACAGCCGGCGUCUCCACAUGUGCCGUCUUUUUUUAUAGUUAGGAUUUCUAUUCAGGUGGAUCACCUCAAUAUAAGGUGGAUAGAAAGUUGGGUAAAGGUGGAUUUGGUCAGGUAUUUAUAGGUCGUCGUGGUUGUGUUUAUGGUGGAACUGACUGCAUAUCAGCUAUCCUGGUGCCAUGGAGCUAGCUCUAAAGUUUGAGCACAGAAACCACAAAGGCUGCAGUUAUGGUUCUCCUUAUGAGUAGCAAGUUUACAAUACUCUGGGUGGCAGUCACGGAGUGCCUAAAGUUCACUAUAUAGGAAAGCAAGGAGACUACUUUGACAUGGUAUGAAAAAAAGUGUUUUUUUUCAUAUAGAAAAAUAAACGUUUCAACACAGUAUUAAUCAUUUUGUUUCGUAUUUUUUCUUGCACGCUAAUAUCAUGAUGUCUAAUACUUUUGUAUGUCGUUGGUCAUUAAUUAAUGGCUACAACGACUAGAGAUCGAUGCAAACGUUGAUGAGUAAUUCAAUAUGUUUGAGUGGCCCACUUAGCUAGGAGAUCGAUACAAACCUUCGAGAAGCACACAUAAACAAACCUGGUUGCAGAUUUGGCGAAUCUCUGACUUUGAGAAAUCUAAUUAAAGGCCAAAGAACUUAGCUAGAACAAUCAGAGGUAGCGCGACAGGCAUGUCAGAGUGCUUGUUUUCAUGGUCCUAGAGGACUAGCUGAUUGUAACGGUGCAUCAUCAGAGAUUUCACAUACCUCAGAUGCGUCUCAAAUUGACAUGGUCUGCACGCUGCCUGUGUUGCGGACAGUCGAAUACAUCAGAUGGGACGCUCAACCGGUCUACAAAAUGACAAAAACAUGUCAGUUUUGUAACUCCAACAGCUGAUCAAGAUUUAUCAUCAAUGCAGAGUUAUGAUUGGAUCUGGCCGAAAACAUUCCCCAUUUGGCUGUAGUGUCUCAUAGUCAGUCGCAAAACCACAUGUGCAGUUCAUAGGUUCUUGAAUGAUUGGAUUUGGGAAAGAGAGUUUAGCCACACACCAAAGUGCAGACUCUGGCUCACUAUGAGGCGGUGGUGGUUUGGUUGGUGGCGGGUAUAAAAUCGGUGGCUCAAAUAGAGGUGGUGCAGGUAUGAACCUUGUAGGUGAAGGAUAUGAAGAUGUUGGUAGGCAUGGUUCAUUAUCAUAAGGAGGGCUUCGACCAGGGCUCGGCUCAUAGUUUUAUGGAGGGGUUAGACCAGGGCUCAGCUCAUAGUUUUAUGUAGGGGUCAGACCAGGGCCCGGUUCAUAGUUUUAAGGUGGUCUCACGUAACACCCCGUGUUUUCGAAUGUCAAAGUCAAAGUCCAAGUCAACUUUGACUUUCUUUGACUAUAAUUAGUCUAUUUUAUGUUUUAUUUGUAUUAUGUGGAGUAAGUGUUGUAAUCAAGAAAGAAUCAACGUAAUCGAAUGUUU